AUGAGCAUGAGAUAUCUUUCCAUUUGUGUGUGGCCUCUUCAAUUUCUUUCAUCAUUGUUUUGUAGUUUUCCUUGUAGAGGUCUUUCACCUCCUUGGUUCAAUUCAUUUUCAGGUAUUUUUGGUACCUAUUUUAAAUAAGAUUGCCUUCUUGAUUUCUUUCUUAGCUAGUCCAUUAUUAGUUUAUAGAAAUGCUACUAAUUUUUGUGUGAUUUUGUGUAUCCUAUGGCUUUAGUGAAUUUAUCAGAUCUAAGUUUUUGGUGGAGUCUUUAGGUUUCUCUAGGUAUAAGAUCAUAUUGUCUGUAAAGAGGGAUAACUUGACUUUCUCUUUUCCAGUUUGGAUGCCCUUUCUUUCUGUUGCUCGAUUGCUCUGGCUAGGACUAGUAUUAUGUAAGUGUUCCAUUCAUUAAUUUGCUGAACUGUAGUGGGAAGACAACCCUUCCCCAAACUCCGUUCACUCCAUACCUAAACGGACCAAGCACAUGCUUAGGGCACUAAUGAAACAGGAACACCAAGAUAAUGAGUAAACUUCAGCUUUUGGUGAACUUGGAAUUUUAUAAUCAGAGAUAAUCUAGAAAUAAGCCUUUCUAACUUCAGCAUACAUUAAUAUUUUGGCUUCCCCAGGCCCACUUGCAUCAUGUACUUCUUUCUCAGAUAAACACUCGAGGGACCUGAUGAGACUGAAAACAUCAAACACAGCCUCUGGGACAAGGAAAGUCUUUAAGAACUUUAGGGGUAUAUUAUUCUCAUACUCAAACACAUCUGCAGACCACCAAAGAUACUUCUCCUCGCAUCACUGUGAUCCUCUGGGCACAUCAGUCACAAAGAACCAGGCUUUAAGUCUUCUGAAAAUUAAUAGAAGCAAGAAGGUGACAAAACUCUAUGGACACUCUUGGGCUUAAAUCUUGCCAGUCAAGUGUUUGAUCACAGACAAGAACUGACCCUCUCUGUGCUCACCAAAUGUCAUGCAGAGACUCUAUGACCUACUACCUCCUUGUGUUCUUCCUGCCUCUCUAGCUGUUCAGUUCAGACUUCUUAGGAGGUUCUCAGAGAUACCUCAAACUGCACAAGUCCAGGGGGAGAAUCUAGAACCUUUUCUAUACUGUAGAGGCUUUCUUGAAUGCCUCUUUGUCCCCACUGUAGCUCUUUUUGUUUAAACUUGUCAGUUGAUCUCUUAUGGCAGCCUUGCCCACCUUUGAUUUAUCCCUUAUACCAAGGUUUCUCAAUUUCCACAGUCUUGACAUUUGGUACUAGAUAAUCCUUUGUUGUGGGGGCUGUUAUGUGCAUUGUGAGAUGCUGAGCAGUGUCCCUGGCCUCUACCAGGAGAUGCCAGUAGCAUCCCGAGUUGUGACAAUCAAAAAUGUCUCUAGACAUUGCCAAAUGUCCCUCGGGGCAAAACUGUCACCUAGCUGAGAACCACUUCUCAAUCUGACCCUGAAUUAUCUUUGAGAAACCAAUAUUUACUGCAGUAUACCCUUAAAUAGUUGAGGGCUCCCAUUGUCUAUGAAUAAACUCCCUGGCAUGACAUAUUUUGCCUUUAUUAUAUCAUCCAACACCCCCCACCAGCACAGGCAGUUAGGUACCUUAUCUGCUGCUGACAGUCUCGUCCAGGGUUUGUCUGCCCUCCUGUCAUAGUCCUGCGCUUUUGCUACUUCCACGUAAUCACUGAAUCGUAUCAGAAUUUUUCUGUCUCUUAAUUCAUCAACAGUGGGUCUCUGAUUAAGCUAAAAUUAAAGAUCAUCAUAGUUAAGUAUCACAUGCCAAACUAGCUUUUUUGAAGUACUCUGAACAAACAGCACUUCUCUUAAAAAACAAAACAAAACAAAAAAAACCUGAAACUGGAAAAUAUAACCCAAAUACAAGCAAUCUCUAAUGUGAAGGGCUGAAAUUAUAUACUGUACUCUUAAAUCACAAUCCCCCUUCCUCCAACAUAUUUUAUCAGAAGGAGUCACACCCCCAGUAGUACAUAGCACCAGCUCAAGGAAUGGUUAGUGAAUUAACUUAGAUUUUAUGGCAUCACUGGCUUCAGAUACAAUUAGAUAAGCUUUUUAAAAGUACUAAUAAAGUUAUUAUAUGUCCAGCUUAGGAAGGAUAUUCUGUUAAUUUCAAGAGAAUUAUUAUGGAGCAGCACAACGAAGAAGGGGAAUCCAGAACACUUGAAUUUAGAAAUGGUCAAGGCUUUAAAAGUAGAUUAAGAUUUAUAGAGUUGCUACCUGUAUUGGCCAUAGUAAAUGUUAACUGUUUGAGUCACAGAGAACAAACCUUUGAGUCUAAUAAAGCUUUCUGCAACUGAGGAACUUCUAGACAUAUUGGAGGUGAACAAAAGCGAUGAGUGUAAAAUGUGACUAAAACACUGAUACCCAGGUAUGCUUUUCCUAGACACUGUAAAUUAAGAAAAUGCCAAUCAACUUCUGGCUUCCACCUGAACAUAAGUAAAAAAUGUCAUGUGCAUUGUGCACCUCUCCAAGUGCUACCGUGCUAGGGAAGGACUUCGUCCAUAGGGAACGUCAGAGGGAGUUAAUUCAUUGUUGCUGAGCAAAGACUUUUUAACCAACAUAAAACAUGGAACACCUUCUUCAGCUCCUGGGCAGCAUAUGCUUGCCUGGAAUUUAUAUGUUCAGACUAUAUUUCAAAUCUUAACACAUCUAUGAACCUCGCUGACUCUCCAUUGCUGAAGCGUGAACACUGUUAUAUGACAGUGCCUUUUAAAGGAGCCCAAGUCCCUCAGCAAAAUUAGCUUUGCUUGGUAAGUUGUGACUAUUAACAUUCAAGCUGUGCUCGCACCUACCCUUGGAAGCCAAAAAUAGACGAAAGUGCUGAGAUAUAGUAUAAAACGUAAGCUUCCCCCUGGGAUACAAGAUAAUGGCUGUCCUAUUUCUGGUGUUCUCUGUUGCUAAAUAAAGCCUUAUGUCCCUGACCUGAACAUAGCUCCAUUCCUAGGAAAGAGAUUUCAACAAUCAGCACUCCUAGAAACACUGGUAGGUUUUGGUAAGGGAAAUCCUGCCACUUGCAAUUAACACAAUUUCACAUUAUCUGCCUUUAUGUAAAAGAUGCGUUUCAAAUAUUUAUACAUUUGUGGGAUUGGUUAUAUGAGAGUUUAAUAUAUUGUGCUUUCCAGUAAUUUUUUUUAAGUGAGUCAUCUUGGAUUAGGGUGUUUUAGAAAAGGUAAUGAAAUCCUCUUUCUGCUUAAUUCUUUAUACAAGUGAGAAACCAGAAGAAACCAUACUUUUAAGGUAUCAUCAGAAAGCUGAUACAAUUAGAGAGACAUUGUGAAAGUGUCCAGACAAGGCAAGCCAUGAGGGAUUUACGUGACGUAAAAUGUUUCAGAUUUCUUUAAAAUAGGCCAUGGGCAGCUCCCAAGUGCAGCUUCCAUGUGAAAAGAUUGAAACAAAGUCAGAUCUUUUUUUUUUUUUUAAUCCUGAAAAAUGCCAUAAUUACUACGAAGGUCACCAGCAGGGUCUUUGGAGAACUGAUCUUUGAAAGUUCCUGUCAGAGUGCUGCUUUGUGCCAGGCGCUCUGUUGGAGACCUCCUCCAAGAAGUCCUCCCUGUUAGCCUAAGCCCACAGACCUCCCCUUCUGAGCUCCCCUUAGUGAUAUGUUUAUGGAUUUCUUAUUUCCAGACCCAGAACACCCUCUGCAUUAUACAAAGCAAGGGACCCAUAAUCAGGACUGCUAUACUCAUAUUUUCUGGAAAUAGCUCCAGCAGCUUGGACAGUUAUACCUGAGACUUCCAUGAAUAUCCAGAAAUGUAUUACUGCUUCUGAUGCAGUAGUUAAGAAGAUGGGCAAUGGAGUUAGGCAGACCUGGGGUUGAACUCUAGUGCUAUCCUUUUCCCAAUAUUCAUUUAUUAAAAAGUGCAAACCUCACAAAUAUGUUGCAAUGAUUAAAUGAGGGAAUAUAUACCAAGUACUGAAUAUAGUCCCUGGCACAGAUUGGGCCUAAUAAAGAAUUACCAUCACCAUAUAAAGGGACCCCUGCUCUUCUGCUUUUCUAUCCACGUUAUAGUGUUAUAUGGGCGGAGUUUUGAGUGCUCCUCAGAUAUGACUGCAGUUAGUCAUGAGUUCCCCCUUGAAGCAAAUACAAAAGUGAUAUUCUAAGAAUUGGUUACAAGAAGAAAAUACAAUACAGUAUGAGUGCUUGAAGUCCUGUGUAUCUAGAGCCUAUGAGUAUGAUGUUUCAUACUAGGCUAUAUAUAGUUACCCUAUUCUCAUCUCCACAGAACAAAAGUAAAACCAAACACCCACCACAAACCUAGCAGUAAAAUUCUCAGGUCCUUCCACUCAGGACACUAGAGAGGGCUUCCGAGCUAAGGACAAACCUACAUUCACUGAUGAAGGCACAGUGUUUAUGGCGGGAUUGCCAUGGCCACCGCAGAGGAAACCCAUUUUCCCUUUCAUGCACUGAAGAUUAACACAAUUAGAAGUACUUGCUGAUGGGAAGACCUGGUUGCCCACGAUAGGAAGGAAGAGGCUGCUACUGAAAGAAGACAUGGUUCCUGGGUUAAAGGUCUGGGCUGUAGUACUCUCUUCCUGUUGCUGACAGCAGGCUACUUGGAAUGUGGUGCUUCCUGUGUCUUGAACUUGCCUGGUUCAAGUCUGGACUGCUACUUUUAGUAGCAUCUGCAACUUACAAGCUUUAUAAAUAAGUGACUUAAUUUUUAAAAAUUCAAAUAUUUGGCAACUGAAACAGCUUGACUUUUCUGUCUGCCUACUUAAUUAAGCAUGUUAUCAAUGAAGAGCUUUUCUUUAAAUCCUCAGAGAUGGUAUAGUUAACAUAGAACAGUAGUCACUAUAUCUUAAGUUUAAAAAGUAAAAUGAAGAAGUCUUUAUCUGAGGGUUAUUUUCAACAAUCUAUAAAGGAGGGGAUUGUUUUAGGCAGUUAAUGAAGGCACUGAGGCAAAGAAAGGAGGGAGGAAUCAAUUCAAGUUCAGUACCCAGACCAACAAGGGGCUCUGCGGUAUUUUCUGACAGAAAGUCAGCUUGGUACCAUUAUAACUUCAUAAAAAGAUGUUCACAAAUAAGAAAACAAACUCAGAGAAAGUCUGCAGUAUUCAUCACAUAAAGAGAAAAAAAGUCCUUUAAAAAUCCAAGCCAUUAGAAGACACUUUCUGUGGAAAAUGUUUUAAAAACUGAAAAUGACUAGAUAAAGAACUAUUGGAGAAACACUUUUUCAAGAGGUUUGGCCACCCCUAAAUCACUGACUUUAUGGAAUAUUUAAUGGAAUAUAGUGCCCUAGAGCAUGGAGGUUACUCAUGAACACCUAUGCUCAGCAUAUGCUAUAAUUGUCCACCUAACGGGAAAUGCAAGGGGUUGCAAGGCUGGGAGCAACAGAGGGUCCUGGAACCUCAAAGUCCUGAGCCACAGGAAAGCUUCUCAUGGCUUCACCGUUUCCCUGAGCUGACUGCUUUAUUCCUCCCAAGUGUAACAGGCAAGGGGCGUGUCCUUCUCUAGUGUGUUCAUGCGGUUCAUGCUUUGUGAUUUCUAUAGCCAUGAAGAACCCCGACCCAAACUGCCAGGAAGACCUGCUUGAAACCUAACGCACUUAGACAUAUGGGACUAACCCUGAAAAUAAAAACAUCUUUAUGCUAAGAGGAAAGGAGUUUUUUUAAAUUAAAAAAAAUGUUUCUAGGUAUAUCAGCUUUCCUUUGGGGCUUGCUUUCAGAAUUCAGCAGCAGCUCAGGUUUACUGGGAGCAUGGAGCAUUCCGCUUGCAGAGAAGGGCUGGGUUAUGGGAACUCAGGAUUUGUGCAACAGCCUCACCACACGUGAAGGAAAACCUCUAGAGGAAUCACCAGCUACUCACGUUUCAAGAUAUUUCUUCUCUCCAGCUCUUCCACGGCAGGUCUUUGGCUCAGCCGUCUGCGGAAAAACACUAAAAUUACAUUUUGCACCAUAGUGG
This 5894-nucleotide long non-coding RNA is filed under the name Homo sapiens (human). Its description in RNAcentral is "HSALNT0269929". The record is from RNAcentral. Lineage: Eukaryota; Metazoa; Chordata; Mammalia; Primates; Hominidae.